This 460-nucleotide ribosomal RNA is filed under the name uncultured bacterium. Its description in RNAcentral is "partial 16S ribosomal RNA". It matches the Rfam family "Bacterial small subunit ribosomal RNA", at positions 338 to 795 of the family's 1533-position model. The record is from RNAcentral.
CCUACGGGUGGCAGCAGUGAGGAAUAUUGGUCAAUGGGCGGAAGCCUGAACCAGCCAAGUCGCGUGAGGGAAUAAGGCCCUACGGGUCGUAAACCUCUUUUGCCGGGGAGCAAGGGCGGGGACGUGUCCCGGCCCGGAGAGUACCCGGAGAAAAAGCAUCGGCUAACUCCGUGCCAGCAGCCGCGGUAAUACGGAGGAUGCGAGCGUUAUCCGGAUUUAUUGGGUUUAAAGGGUGCGUAGGCGGGCUUUUAAGUCAGCGGUAAAAAUUCGGGGCUCAACCCCGUCCGGCCGUUGAAACUGGGGGCCUUGAGUGGGCGAGAAGUACGCGGAAUGCGCGGUGUAGCGGUGAAAUGCAUAGAUAUCGCGCAGAACUCCGAUUGCGAAGGCAGCGUACCGGCGCCAGACUGACGCUGAGGCACGAAAGCGUGGGGAUCGAACAGGAUUAGAUACCCGGGUAGUC